Molecule: long non-coding RNA, 1197 nt
Organism: Mesocricetus auratus (golden hamster)
Lineage: Eukaryota; Metazoa; Chordata; Mammalia; Rodentia; Cricetidae
Exons: 2
Source: RefSeq, a predicted model, not a curated record
GGAAGUGAAAGUUUUUGGCUGAAUUUGUACCCUCAUGGUCCUGCCUCUGGAGGUUUCCCAUGCUGCAAUGUGAGCUGGCAACGUGUAACCGUGUUAUCACAGAGUGAUAGCCAUGUCCCCUCUCACUUCUCAAACUACAACAGCAUUCGAGACCAUCAGGGCUGCUGAAUAGAUGGAAGACUGGAAAGUUCUCUGCUGUGGGAACUGUUCAAUGUAUCAUGGAUGCUUACCAGAAUUCUGUAUUUCUAGAUGCCAACAGAACCCCAUAUCUGGUUGUGACAACCAAAACUGUUCCCAGAUGCUGUCCUGGACCUGCUGUGAGUCACAGUUUCACCUGCCACAUGAGGCUUCUGAGACAACUGAGCGGGAAUUAGAAGAAGACCUCAGGACCACUGGAAUCUGCACUUCCUCGACAGGGCUCCAUCCAGCUCAAUAGAUGUAUCAGUUAUCCUGACCUUGAUCAUCCUUCACAGGUGGUUCUCAGUCCCAUACCUGGUUGAUGAUGAACUUACCUAUCACAGAAGGUGGAGUCCAUCCCUGCAUAGUUGCAAUCGCCUUUAAAUCUAAAAAUCUUUAACUUUUUAAAAAUCAAGUGUACUGAUAUUUAAUUAUCUUUACAUUAGCAAUUGAUUUCUAGAAAACCAUCUCUCCUUUCUGGACUCAGAAAGAAAGAAGUAAGGUCCUUGAAUCUAUAGUGGAAGAAGGCUUAUCCAGGCCCAUAACCCAGGACUGCCACUCAGUCCGCAUACUGUCUUCUCUGGAAUCCCAGCUCCUGCACUGCUUCAGAGGCCCACUUUGGCCUGUCUUGCCUAUAAAUAUUACCCAUAGAAAUACCAAUCCAUUUUGAUAGCAGAAAAGUCUCUUUUCUCUUUCUUGCUAUUCUCAAACAUGCUGCCAUGUUACAACCUGCCACAGUCCCCCUAAUUAAUUCUCUAAUAGUGUCUAAAGGGACAUUGCUAGAACUGAAAUUUAAUUACAUUAUGUCAUUGCAUAUAAGUGCCACAUAAAUAAGUAUUAGCUAUUGGAUCAAAACCAAGCAUGUAUCCAUAGCCCUCUCUAGCCUCAGUACUCCAGCCUGACCUAGGUUAUACUCACUACAUUUUUUUCUUUGGUAGUCUUCAGCUUUCCAUGCUUUCCAAUCAAGUAGGAACAUAUAUCUCCUUGGCUCAAGCUCUAAUAAACAUUGGACAGAACUCA